CAGACAGAGUAAGAGGCAACCAUACAAACACAAGUCUACACCUGAAUAGGCCGCAUGGACCACCUCCGGCCAGCUAUGUAGCCUGGAGCCAUGCCUUGCUUCUGCUGUAGCUUUCCCUGUGAAAUUAGCCGACUAGUGGGUUCCCAGGAAGGAGCUAGGUGAGGUGCCUGACACCUGGCAGGAUUUUGCCCAGUGGUCCUGGCCUACACUGAAGCAAGGUGAUGGGGGAAAGGCUGGCCUCUGGGGAGGGGCACCUCUGUCAAUGAGGCCAGGCCAUGAGUGUCACCUUGAGGCAGGAGGCACCUGGAGGCUGGGAAGUCUGGCAGCCAUGGCAGGUAAGAGUGGCCUGUCACACAUGGCAGGAUGUGGAGAGAGAACUUCAAGGCUCUGGAGACCACCUGGCCCAGCCUGGUCCAACAGGCUGGCGUAUGACACAGAUCUCCAGCUUCUGGACUUUGCCCUGAACAUCCAUAAAAGGAGGCUGGUCAUGGUGGCUGCUUGUACUCUCCUGUGUUGUAACCUUCUGUGACAGCUGACUUGGGGACUGCUGGAUUCUUGACCUCACACUAUCUUAUUUUCAAUCUCGGCUUGUACUUUCGGUUUGUUGUUACUGUUGUUAAAAUAAGAGAGGGAAAAACAAGCAAACAAACACACGUUCCCCUGGCAACAGGAGAAGCGUGGGGCCAUGGAGCAGCCUGGGAGUUCAAGGUUCCCUGGGAGACCUCUUGGGAGUCCUGCUCUGCUUCUAGCUGUGGUGUGACCUUGAGCAAGAGAGUUAGCUAAUGUCCCUGAGCCCCUACAGGCCUCACCUCCAACACAGCAGGGCUGGUGGGAGCCUGUCCAUUGAACUGCUGGAGGACCAAGAAGACACAGCCAGAGCCUGAACACAAGCUGCUGCCCCACUCUAGCAUCCCACAUGUUUAGUCACAGGAGUUCAAAGCCCAGUCACAUGACCCCAUGAGCUGGAUCGACAGGUUCCCACUCUCUGGCCCCUCAACACUGUAGCUAGGAGGUGACAAGCUUUAGCCUAUCACCUUGCAUCACCCACAAAAUUUCUCUUCUCAUUGAGACUCUUAAACAAGCUCCUAGAUAAAGCACUGUCCCCAUUGAGCAGAUGAAAAAACUGAGGCUCAGAGGUUCAGUGACUUGCCUAAAACCAAUCCAGUAAAUAACCAGCACUCUUUCCUUACCUCAUGCUAAGCAACACCUUAGUGGAGGCUACCCACCCAAUCUUCCUCACCAGACUUCCUCACUAGACCCUUUUUGUCCUGACCCAGCUCCCAAGAUGUGACUCUUGGCUUCCUGUCAGGGAAGGAGACCAGAUCCUCUGGUCCUGGCCAGGAUCUCCCUUCAAUCCCUUUAAUUUAGCCGAUGUGGCUUAGAUAGGUUUCCCUUCUUGCAUUUUGCUCUGAAGCCCAAGAGGCAUCACUGGAGGGCCACUGACUGAACAAGAGGCUGCCUCGUAAGAAGUACCAGACGGGAAGCUGAGCUAUGGCCCCUGAGCUCCCAGCCUUCUGCAGCUCUCACACUCAGAUGCACUGUGCUAGGGACACCCCAGACAUCCUACCUCGGUCUCCAUCUCCCAGUGAAGAGCCUGAGGCCCAGGUGUUGUGAAUGUUGAGGUGUAUGCUGGGGCUGGGGCUGGGGCUGGGGCUGGCUAAAGUGGCCAGUGCUCUGGGUGGCUUCAGACCCUUAAGAAUGGGGGUGACGCGUUCACAUUUGUCCAUCACACUGGGAUGUGCAAACUGCUAGGCUUGGCCUCAAACGUCCAGCCCAGGACUCUGCUCCAUCUCAACCUAACUGUAGCUUAAGUGGAAAAUCAGAUAAGACGCUGUAAGUCUGAGGGACGCUUAAGAGACUCGAGGAUCAGCUAUUCAGAAGUCGCAGACUCUGGGGCCUCAUGUCAGGACCUAGACUCCCAGGAGACGUCUCAGGAAGCAGGUUUUAAGAACCUCUCCUCACCCCAGUAAACCAGGUCACAGCGUAGAUUCUGAAUUGAGAGAGGCUUAAUUGUAGUCUCACUACUCAGAGCUGUGUGACCUUUGGCACACAGCUUGCCUGCUCUGGGCCUUAGUGCUCUCUGUAAAGUGGACUAUCACGGAUGUCCAGGAAGAAGCCAGUCCUGAAUUGCUGACACUCUAGGAGAUCCCUUGGUUCCUUGAGAGGUGGAACAGGCCUGGGGUUCCUGUAGACGGGCCCAGAAAGGUCAUGGUCACUAAGUCCUUGGAAUGGAGUCUGGCAAAGAGCAGCAUGAGGGACAAAGGGAAUGUGCUCGCUGCCCAACCCCUUAAUCCAGCCCCUAAACCUAAGCAGGACGAUGCGGGCUCAGGAGGGAGGCAGGCAGCACUUGCCCUGCUCACACAGGGAUAGUGGCCUAGCUCUGGUGUGCCCUCAAGACUCUGACUCUGCAGCCCAAGGUCCUGCACACUUUAUGAUGGGGAGUCAGGAUGGCAGGGGUAAGCGGCCCCUGAGCCCCUAGACUCUGAGCAGAUGGGAAAGGUGCCCAGUAUCUUCAGGGGCAAUGGCACAGCCCUGCCUGCCCUGCCCCCAACACAUUACACACAGGGCUUGCUAAAACCCCAGCAUAAGGCUCAGAGGUGAAAGGCUCAGGGGCCCAAAGGCAGUGAACCCCAAGUGACUUCCAUCCUGAGCCCCUGGAGUCUACCAAGACCCCACCAUGGGCUAGCCUCAAGCUGGACACAGGACACAGAUGGGUGGAACCCUCCUUGCCCCCAGGAGCUCACAAGACAAUGAACCAUUAAGUAACAGGCUGUGCCUUUGUCCCAGCAGCCCUGUUCCCUCUGAGGGACAGCUGGCUGUGGAAACACAGUCUACAGUACUAACUGACCACAGGUGGAGCAUCUGCAGUUAUCCUUGGUGGAGACACGUGCUGCCCCCCCUCCCAUGACACAGCUGGCAGACUGUACCCCAAGGGCUGAUCCAGACCCCCUGUGCUAACAGCCAUGCUUCAUGGCCAGCAGAAACUGUUUUUUCACAAUAAGAUAAUCCAACCAAGGCCAAGUCUAGCUAGGGCUGUAGCCCUGGCACAAAACCUAACCAGCAGUGGAUGAUACAACGGAUACUGAAGGCUGGGGAGGAGACUCACCCACCCAUGCAUAUGGCUGGCAAACUCGCUGGGCCAGGGUUCCUAAGACAGAAACCGGGUGUGGGCCCUGAGUGGGUGAUUAGGGGGAGGGAGGGGACUGUAAUCAGGGAUCCCACAUGGCAACAGCCAGCAGGCUCAGGCAGCUCCACUGUCCCCUCCCCAGGCUGAGCUUAGGUGGGAGGGGAGGUACAGCUGCAAGGCCACUUCUUGCAGGCAGCCCUCCCAGAUCCCUCCGGCGCAGCCCUGCCACCUCCACAAGGGUUCAGAUAGGCUCAAACCUGCUCCUUUUGCACUUCCCAAAUGCUGUCUGUUUAAAAAACAAAACAAAAAGAAACAAAAGCAAACAAACAAACAAACCUCAACAGGUUCUCAUGAUCUGAGCCCUGCUAUCUUCAAACUUACUCUGUAGCCAGGGAUGACCUUGAACUUGAUCCUUCAUCUUCUGUGUGCUGGGAUUUCAGGCUGGUGCUACCACACCUGGCAUCCCUGGUGUUAGAGACCCUACCAAGACUCUGUGCACACUAUGCCACAACUGAGCCACAGCCCCAGCCCCCAUGACUUACUUUCCUGAGUCUCUGCUUCCACCCCUGGAAAUGGCCCUGAUUACCUGCUUCCCCUCCCUUUAAGAGGUGUUUGGCCUGUUGGGUGGGGACACAGCAUCACACACAGGGAGCUGGGGUGAAGGCAGAUGUACUACUUAGAGAGGAUCUUCCUGACAUCUAGCUCCAAGCACUAGCCCAGGUUGGGAGAAGAGGAGAGGAUGAAGCCCGCUCACCUCCCCCUACCCCCUGAAGCUAGUGCACACCUGCCUAUGGUCCUUUGAGCCUCCUCCACUCCUUGCCUCUGGGGCCACCUCCCUGGCAACCCCAAACAAGCCUGUGAACGCGUGGGUCAACAGCCACCUCACCCAGCACAUACCUCAGACACCAGCCACGUCAGUUCUCUGUGGGGUGGGCACCAGGCGGUGGCCCUAGACAUCUGAGACCUGGGUGAGGGCUGUAUCCCCUCCCCCAGCUGCCAGCAAGCAGUGACAACUGACACAGCACAAGCAAUCAGCUGUUAAGGCACAAACACAUCCUCUGAGGAAGCUAGAGCUUUCUGCACUUCCCCACUGGGACCCCCUAGGGCUUCUGGGCUCUGUGGGAUGGCUGAGGUGCUAAGGCCACGAGACUUAGCAAGGGUGGCUGUAGG
RNAcentral lists this long non-coding RNA (4297 nucleotides) under Mus musculus (house mouse). RNAcentral describes it as "long non-coding RNA chr2:93444868-93449165". Lineage: Eukaryota; Metazoa; Chordata; Mammalia; Rodentia; Muridae. The record is from RNAcentral.